Hibiscus syriacus is the source of this 1932-nucleotide long non-coding RNA. RefSeq lists it as uncharacterized. The transcript has 8 exons. Lineage: Eukaryota; Viridiplantae; Streptophyta; Magnoliopsida; Malvales; Malvaceae. The record is from RefSeq and is a predicted model, not a curated record.
UCUCUGGUUCUGUUCUCAAAUCAGACGGCCUAAAGACUUUGUUGAAGUGGUUUUCAGACAGUUGCUAUUUUCAUGCAGACUGGUGAACUGGAGAAAUCAGGAGCACAUUGACCACAGUCAAUGAUAUUGUGGAGGAUUCACAUCACAAGAUAUUCAUUGGUGGAAUUUCAAAGGCUCUUCAUCUGAAUGUUCGUGGAGAUUGCUAAUGCCUUGGUCCGUUGAAGGCAUAUCAUUUUGAUAUGAACAAGGAUCUGGUGAACAAUAUGCCAUGCUCGAGUACGUCGACCAAUCUGUUACUCACAAGGCAUGUGCUGGUCUAAACGGAUUGAAGUUGGGAGGGCAAGUAAUCACUGCAGUUGAGGCUGUCAAGGGCUUUUCCUUGGGAAAUGGUGAAGAUCAAAAUUCAUGUAUUGUUCCUGAACUUGCGAGGUCGCUUCUUCAGAAGCCUACUCAAGUCGUUAAACUUAAAAAUGUGUUCCCAGAAAACUUUUCUUCUUUAUCUGAAGCUGAGGUGGAAGAAUACUAGAAUGUACGGUUAGAGUGUUCAAGGUUUGGUACUAUUAAAUCUGUUAAUGUUGUCAAGCAUGCAAACGGUAUCAUCACAAAUGGAGAAAACAAUGAUGAUAAUACGAGGGAAACUGGAAACGUACAGAACGUAGUAGAUGAUGAAAUAAAUGUUGAAACAAAGACUACAAAAGAAGCUGCUGAUGGAAACUCUGGAGGAACUGCUGGUAUAACCUUUCCGUGUGCGACUCCUGAGGUAGUGGCAGGCUACAGGUUUAACGAUGAGAAACCUGUUUUAUGCCGACGAGUUGAGUUUGAAGAUAAUAUUAACAGAGAAGACAAGCAUGGGAAUUUGGAUGAUGAGCCAUCAACCAGGGGGGUUUUAUAGCAUCAGUGCUGCCGGUGCUCAGCUUGAUACUGAAAUGGCUGCGGAAGAUCCGACCUUGGAGAUUUUAGUCAAUACAACUUCUCAAGAUGUCCCUAAUCCGAUCCAUAUCUCAAAAGAGGAAUCAAAUUAUCAUUCCGAUAAGUAUGGUGAUAAUAAUUUUAAAAGUGAAACCGCAAAUCUUGAUGAGAUAUCAGGAGCUGAAGAAAAUGCAAAUCUUGAUGAGAUAUCAGGAGCUGAAGAAAAUGCAAAUCCGGAGGAAAUCAACAGAAAAUUACCAGAAGGUCAUACUAAGGUGGCAAUCGAAGAUCCCGCCUUUAAGAGUGAGCCAAUAACUAGGUUUCGAGAGAUCCUACCCUUCUGAAUACCCCAAAAGAGGAACCGGCCUCUCCAUAUGACAAGGUUUCUGAUAAUAUUGAUAAUGAAGUCAUAAAUGUAGAUAAAAAUUUGUUGCCCAGAGAAGAUUCACACCUGGAGGAAGGUGAUGGAAGGCUACCAGAAGCCAUCCACGGUUCUGCUGAUAGUGCAAGAACAGAAUUAGACGGUUUUGAGAAGGAUGAAAAAAACAAGGAUGACAAAUUGAAACAGAUUUUUGAGCCUGGUUGUGUGUUUGUUGAGUAUGGAGGAACAGAAGCAUCAUGCACGGCUGCACAUUCUAUACAUGGACGGUUAUUUGAUAACCGGUUGUUGACGGUAGAGUAUAUUGAUCCGAACCUUUACCGGUGAAAUUUCCAAAAUGAACCGGAUCACUCGAACUGGAGAUAAAACUGCUCCACCGAACUUUAGCCUCCCCAUAUGUUUAUCAUUUGAAGUACAUUCUGCAUGAUUAUGCUACAUCGGAGUUUUACAUUACAUUACAGUCGGCCUUGGCCAUACGACGACACAAGGUAAUAUUUUUUCGAAGUUUGAUCGGGUUUGACUAGUAAAGGACCCUUGGUCUCUCCAUUUAAACUUUUAACUUUAAUUCGACAGUGCUGUAAAAGUUGAUGUAUAUGUUAUCAUGAUAGUUAGAAGUUUGUGUAUGCACUGCUACUUUUGUAGUC